GGAAUCGCUAGUAAUCGCGAGUCAGCAUNCGCGGUGAAUACGUUCCCGGGCCUUGUACACACCGCCCGUCACACCAUGGGAGCCGGAAAUGCCCGAAGCCAGUGACCCAACCUUAGGGAGGGAGCUGUCGAAGGUGGAGCCGGUAACUGGGGUGAAGUCGUAACAAGGUACC
RNAcentral lists this ribosomal RNA (172 nucleotides) under uncultured bacterium. RNAcentral describes it as "partial 16S ribosomal RNA". It matches the Rfam family "Bacterial small subunit ribosomal RNA", at positions 1328 to 1500 of the family's 1533-position model. The record is from RNAcentral.